This is a long non-coding RNA of Neltuma alba, 868 nucleotides long. RefSeq lists it as uncharacterized. The transcript has 3 exons. NCBI's taxonomy places the organism in Eukaryota, Viridiplantae, Streptophyta, Magnoliopsida, Fabales, Fabaceae. The record is from RefSeq and is a predicted model, not a curated record.
GGAUCAAUGACAGGGCCGUUCUUCUGGUGGUCCCCACCACAAGACAUGCUCGUCGUAUCCGACUCGUGAUGAUCAUUGUGGCCAGCAGCAAUGACUCUUUCAUCGUCGAAGUCACAUAACUGCAAAUUUCGCAGUGCUCUGUGCUCUGUUUUCCUGGAAAGUACGUUAAGUUGAUUCAUCCGCUCAUUUUGUCAAAUCCUUCGUUCUUCACAAAGUGAUCUUUUGUUAAAGACAACGUUAAGCAAUUUACAAUCUGCGAAUACAGUUUGUUCGUAUUUACGUUCUUCAUAGUGGCUUUUGGUUGUUUGAUCGCAUUGCGCAUCUAAAAAUUAAAAAAAAAAAAAAAAAAAAAAAAACACUUCUCUGUCCUGCGUGCAAGGCAUCAUCCAACGGCUUUGAAAUCUCCAGAGAGGAAAAAAGAUGACGAGCAUUGGAGAAAGUGCUGCGACAAGUAUUUUCCAGAGAUUAAUGGAUAAAACCAUCAAGGAGGCUAGGUAUUUUCUUGAUUUUGAUUAUCACGUUCAUAACUUUGUGAUAGAAAACAACAGUUUGGCUGCAAAGCAGAAAAAAGUACUAAAAGAUAUUGAAGAUGCCCAACGAAAUGAGAACCAAAUUGAAGAUGAAGUUCAAAAUUGGAUCGAGGAAGCUGAUAAUCUAAUUCAAAAGAACACUAAAAUCAAGCAAACAUGGUCUUAUGGUUGGUGUCCUUAUUGGAAAUACCAGCAAGGGAAGAGUUUGGCAAAGAGGACGGUAAUCAUUAAAGAUCACAUCCAAAGAUAUAACUUUGAAAGAGUGGCUCGUCCAGGUGAACUUCCAGGUAUGAAGUACCACGCUUCAAAAGACUACAUUGACUUUGAGAGUAGAAAGU